UUCGUUAGAACACUACCUAAGGCUUUCGCUGCAAUGGCGAAGGCACAGAAGGUUCGCCACGCCGGCAGCGGACCUUCGCAGGCAGAUACGUCUGCCAGGCCUUGCCACAAGGCCAACGGGACAUAACAGUCAAC
Molecule: non-coding RNA, 134 nt
Filed under: Ectopseudomonas mendocina ymp
Lineage: Bacteria; Pseudomonadati; Pseudomonadota; Gammaproteobacteria; Pseudomonadales; Pseudomonadaceae
Description: rmf RNA
Rfam family: rmf RNA
Source: RNAcentral